AAACUGAAGAGUUUGAUCAUGGCUCAGAUUGAACGCUGGCGGCAGGCCUAACACAUGCAAGUCGAGCGGAAACGAUGGAAGCUUGCUUCCAGGCGUCGAGCGGCGGACGGGUGAGUAAUGCAUAGGAAUCUGCCCGAUAGUGGGGGAUAACCUGGGGAAACUCAGGCUAAUACCGCAUACGUCCUACGGGAGAAAGCAGGGGAUCUUCGGACCUUGCGCUAUCGGAUGAGCCUAUGUCGGAUUAGCUAGUUGGUGAGGUAACGGCUCACCAAGGCCGCGAUCCGUAGCUGGUCUGAGAGGAUGAUCAGCCACAUCGGGAC
RNAcentral lists this ribosomal RNA (320 nucleotides) under Halomonas sp. PAR8. Its description in RNAcentral is "bacterial SSU rRNA". It matches the Rfam family "Bacterial small subunit ribosomal RNA", at positions 1 to 319 of the family's 1533-position model. Lineage: Bacteria; Pseudomonadati; Pseudomonadota; Gammaproteobacteria; Oceanospirillales; Halomonadaceae. The record is from RNAcentral.